RNAcentral lists this ribosomal RNA (253 nucleotides) under uncultured bacterium. RNAcentral describes it as "partial 16S ribosomal RNA". It matches the Rfam family "Bacterial small subunit ribosomal RNA", at positions 526 to 779 of the family's 1533-position model. The record is from RNAcentral.
CGUAGGGGCAAGCGUUAUCCGGAUUUACUGGGUGUAAAGGGAGCGUAGACGGCUGUGCAAGUCUGAAGUGAAAGCCCAGGGCUCAACCCUGGGACUGCUUUGGAAACUGUGGAGCUAGAGUGCUGGAGAGGUAAGUGGAAUUCCUAGUGUAGCGGUGAAAUGCGUAGAUAUUAGGAGGAACACCAGUGGCGAAGGCGGCUUACUGGACAGUAACUGACGUUGAGGCUCGAAAGCGUGGGGAGCAAACAGGAUU